UUAGGAAUAUUGGUCAAUGGGUGCAAGCCUGAACCAGCCAUCCCGCGUGAAGGACGACUGCCCUAUGGGUUGUAAACUUCUUUUGUAUAGGGAUAAACCUACCCUCGUGAGGGUAGCUGAAGGUACUAUACGAAUAAGCACCGGCUAACUCCGUGCCAGCAGCCGCGGUAAUACGGAGGGUGCAAGCGUUAUCCGGAUUUAUUGGGUUUAAAGGGUCCGUAGGCGGACUUAUAAGUCAGUGGUGAAAGCCUGUCGCUUAACGAUAGAACUGCCAUUGAUACUGUAAGUCUUGAGUAUAUUUGAGGUAGCUGGAAUAAGUAGUGUAGCGGUGAAAUGCAUAGAUAUUACUUAGAACACCAAUUGCGAAGGCAGGUUACCAAGAUAUAACUGACGCUGAGGGACGAAAGCGUGGGGAGCGAACA
Molecule: ribosomal RNA, 422 nt
Filed under: uncultured bacterium
Lineage: Bacteria
Description: partial 16S ribosomal RNA
Rfam family: Bacterial small subunit ribosomal RNA
Source: RNAcentral